CCAGACUCCUACGGGAGGCAGCAGUGGGGAAUAUUGCACAAUGGGCGGAAGCCUGAUGCAGCAACGCCGCGUGCGGGAUGACGGCCUUCGGGUUGUAAACCGCUUUCGCCUGUGACGAAGCGUGAGUGACGGUAAUGGGUAAAGAAGCACCGGCUAACUACGUGCCAGCAGCCGCGGUGAUACGUAGGGUGCGAGCGUUGUCCGGAUUUAUUGGGCGUAAAGGGCUCGUAGGUGGUUGAUCGCGUCGGAAGUGUAAUCUUGGGGCUUAACCCUGAGCGUGCUUUCGAUACGGGUUGACUUGAGGAAGGUAGGGGAGAAUGGAAUUCCUGGUGGAGCGGUGGAAUGCGCAGAUAUCAGGAGGAACACCAGUGGCGAAGGCGGUUCUCUGGGCCUUUCCUGACGCUGAGGAGCGAAAGCGUGGGGAGCGAACAGGCUUAGAUACCCUGGUAGUCCACGCUGUAAACGGUGGGUACUAGGUGUGGGGUCCAUUCCACGGGUUCCGUGCCGUAGCUAACGCUUUAAGUACCCCGCCUG
This 534-nucleotide ribosomal RNA is filed under the name uncultured bacterium. Its description in RNAcentral is "bacterial SSU rRNA". It matches the Rfam family "Bacterial small subunit ribosomal RNA", at positions 331 to 875 of the family's 1533-position model. The record is from RNAcentral.